UUUACAAAAUAAUAGCCAUUAUAGUCUUUCAGUGAUAUGAGCAGUUAUACACAUGGGAUAAAAUAAUACUGGGCCAUUGUAAAUGGAGGUGAAGUCACCAUUUCAUCUCCAUGGUCUAGACACUG
Bos indicus x Bos taurus (hybrid cattle) is the source of this 125-nucleotide small nucleolar RNA. The record is from Ensembl. NCBI's taxonomy places the organism in Eukaryota, Metazoa, Chordata, Mammalia, Artiodactyla, Bovidae.